UUCCGACGCUGACUUCAUGUAUUUCUGGAUAGAUUCGAGGCCCAGGUCGUCGUGUAGGUCAACGUUCCUCACGAACCACGGAGCUCCGACGGCUAACCUGCAAAAGCGGGAUUGUAGAAAUUGGAGGGUGUCUAUGUGUGUGCGGGCCGCGUAAGCGAACACCACACUCGCGUAAGUCAUGACGGGCCUUAUGCAAGUUUUGUAAAGUGUCACCUUGUUCCGAAGAGACAUUUUACUCCGCUUACAGAUCAUGGGGGGGACAUUGUUCUUGCAAGCGAGCACACCUCUUAUUUCGAUUUAUCAUUUUUCUGUCAAUAAUCAUGCCAGCAUGUGUAGUGAAGUGGUGCAGGAGCCAUUCAAGGUUAAAAUGCCCAGGGAUCACUUUUCACUAUUUUCCUGCUGAUGCAAUUCGGCAAAAAAAGUGGAUAGCUGCAGUGAAGUUGGAAAGACAGGAAUAUGACUGGAUGCCUGUAAAAACUAGCAGAGUAUGCUCUAUUCAUUUUGAUAAAAAAGAUUUUUACAAAUCAUUAAAAGGUUUAUACAAUGUUACACAAAACUGCAGUAACAAUUUGUACAAUGAUUCGUUUUGAAGAAACAUCAACAUCUUCAAGGAAUACUACAGAAAAUGAAUACAACAAUAAUGAAAGAUUACAGUCGGUUGAUAACAAUUCAUUUUUUGCAAAUUUUAAAGUAGAAUAUAACGAUGGCGCGGCAGAGGAACCAAGAAAAAAAAUAUUUGAAGAUAAUCUUGUUUCAAAUGAAGUCAAUACUUUUGAAGAUAGAGGUUCAUCCGUUACGCCGAUAAAUAUACCAUCAUCAGAUAUUGAAUCUGCACUGAAUACACCUAGAACACACAUGUUAAAACAUAAACUACGAAAAAAAUCUAUUUUGGCAGUGAAACGACUAUCACAGAUCAGAAAUCUAGAACGCAGAAAUAAAAGAUUAGUUGUGAAGAAUAUUUCACUUAAAAAUAUUUUAUCCCAAUUGAAGAAAAAUGGAUUUGGCAAUACCGCAGAAAAUACUGCAUGUAAUGAAUUUUUUGAUGAUAUCGUUUUAGCCCUACAAAGGAAAAAGUCAAAAGAUGGACGAAGUAUCGUAAAGUUUACACCAGCCAUUAAAAAAUUCGCUUUGACGCUAAACUUAUUAUUCACCAGCAGGAUAUAAAUAUGUGAGACGACAGUUGCUUUCAUCUCUUCCUCAUCCGUCAACCUUAUCUAAAUGGUACCAAUCCAUAGAUGGAAAGCCAGGCUUUACCGAAGAAGCAUUCGCAGCUUUAAAGUUAAAAUACUCUAGAUACUAAAUAGUGGGCACAUUUGCAGAAACUCAAAAAUGUCCAAGACAAUAUUGGAUUGCAUUUUGGGAAUAAGUUAUCAAAUCGGCAUAUAGAGUUCCGAAAUAAUAUAAUGAACAUGAAACUAGCGACUCAAACUUUAAGUCAAAGUGUAGCUGAUGUGAUUAAGUUUUGUUCGCAGCAAUUAAGCAUGCCUGAUUUCAAGACACAUGCAACUGCUAUCUUUUUAGAAACGUUUAAUAACCUCUUUGAUAUACUAAACGCAAGAUCACUUUCUGAAAAGGGGUUUAAACACCCUUUUUCGGUUGAACAAAAAGAAACACUAUACAAUAUUCUGGAUGUAAGCGAAAAACAUAUAAAAAAUCUCCAAAUCAUUGUGCAGUCCAAAAAAAACUCAAACAGUAAAUGGACAAAGAGUAACGGUAUAUACCAACUCCUUAAAACCAGUGACCAAAACUCAGUCUAAAACUGGAUUUCUAGGUCUUCUUAUUUGUAUUUCUAGUUUUAAAUUACUUUUUGCUCGCUUAGUAGAGGCACAAAUAUUGAAAUUUAUUUUACCUUCCAAAUUUAGCCAAUCAAUCGCAAUCGCGGUCGUUGCAACAAUAACCCAAACGCCUGUCAAUUUAUGGGAAUAUAUGAAAAUACUUUAAUGAACUUGAACCUCAGCUCUAAAUUCACAGGCAACAGCAUAUCAUUAGAGGAUAUUCCAAUUCUAAAUUGCUCUUCGGUAAUCAAUAACACCACUCCUGGCUUUAGAAAUAAUACAGACAGUGCUAGUUACUCUACUGCAGCAGGUGAGAGUAAAACAGAAGAAGAAAAUUGCAUGGAGCUAUCAAACAUGCUGGAUGCUAGAAUUUAAUUGCCAGAAACUGUAGAGCAAAUAGUAGGCUUUGUAACCCGAAAACUGCAGGUGAAAAUCAACUCUCCAGAAUGCUUAUUAUUACUACCUGCUAAUGAAAAAUUGUAUUUACAUAAGCUGAUUAGCUUGAAAGAUUUCGGUGGACUCUGGUAUCAAUCUGUGGUGUUGUAUAAAAUAUGCAUACGCACAGAAACACUAAUAAGACAAAUAAUAAAAAUACAUGAUAACGGAAAAUCACUUACUCGACCAAGUAAUCUGUCAGUAAUAUCUACGCAGUGUUUUUCUAAAAUAAUUGACAAUGAAGAUAUUCUGCGCUAAUUAAAAAACAGUCACCAGACAAAUAAUGACCAUUUCAUUUUUUUUAUAAAAUGUGUAAUCGUUGAAUUUCUUAGAAUCCGUCUUGCGAAAAAGAUUAUUUUUUAAUGUCUUCUAGGCAAAAACUUAAUAAAUUAAUUAUAUUUCGAGGAACAUACAGUUUAUUAAAAAAAAAAAAAUUAUAAACAUUAUACAA
Long non-coding RNA from Bombyx mori (domestic silkworm), 2661 nucleotides. RefSeq lists it as uncharacterized. The record is from RefSeq and is a predicted model, not a curated record. The transcript is spliced from 4 exons. Lineage: Eukaryota; Metazoa; Arthropoda; Insecta; Lepidoptera; Bombycidae.